GGGGCCUGGGUAUCCUUAUAGUGAUUACUUUUUGACUGAACAUUAAACCGAUUUGUUUUCUGAUGCUCUUUACCGGGUA
This 79-nucleotide ribosomal RNA is filed under the name Demodex folliculorum. RNAcentral's name for it is "partial 18S ribosomal RNA". The record is from RNAcentral. Lineage: Eukaryota; Metazoa; Arthropoda; Arachnida; Trombidiformes; Demodicidae.